This 463-nucleotide ribosomal RNA is filed under the name uncultured bacterium. RNAcentral describes it as "bacterial SSU rRNA". It matches the Rfam family "Bacterial small subunit ribosomal RNA", at positions 28 to 507 of the family's 1533-position model. The record is from RNAcentral.
GACGAACGCUGGCGGCGUGCUUAACACAUGCAAGUCGAGCGAUGAAGUUUCUUCGGAAAUGGAUUAGCGGCGAACGGGUGAGGAACACGUGAAGAAUCUGCCCUCCACUUUGGGAUAACACCGGGAAACCGGUGCUAAUACCGAAUAUUGAAACAUAAGUGGCAUCACUGAGUUUUGAAAGAAUUUCGGUGGAGGAUGACUUCGCGGCCUAUCAGCUAGUUGGUGAGGUAAUGGCUCACCAAGGCAACGACGGGUAGCCGGCCUGAGAGGGCGACCGGCCACACUGGGACUGAGACACGGCCCAGACUCCUACGGGAGGCAGCAGUGGGGAAUAUUGGGCAAUGGAGGAAACUCUGACCCAGCGACGCCGCGUGCGGGAUGAAGGCCUUCGGUGUAACCGCUUCAGUAGGGAAGAAGCGAAAGUGACGGUACCUACAAAAGAAGACACCGGCUAACUAAUGUG